UACGGCUCAGUAACACGUAGCUAACCUACCCUCUGGAUGGAGACACCCCCGGGAAACUGGGGCUAAUCCCCAAUAGAUAUGGAGGCCUGGAAUGGUUCCAUAUUCAAAUGCAUAAUAACCAUGUUUGUUAUGUGCCAAAGGAUGGGGCUGCGGCUGAUCAGGCAGUUGGUGAGGUAACGGCUCACCAAACCUUUGACCAGUACGGGCCGUGAAAGCGGUAGCCCGGAGAUGGGUACUGAGACAAGGACCCAGGCCCUACGGGGCGCAGCAGGCGCGAAAACUCCACAAUGUACGAAAGUACGAUGGGGUUACCUUGAGUGCAGUCUGAAAAAGGUUGCUUUUCCAUAGAGUAAUAUCCUGUGGGAAUAAGGGGGGGGCAAGACUGGUGUCAGCCGCCGCGGUAACACCAGCCCCCCGAGUGGUGGGGACUUUUAUUUGGCCUAAAGCGUCCGUAGCUGGCUGUUUCCGUCCCCCGUUAAAUCCAGCGUCCCAAGCGUUGGACUGCGGGUGAUACCAAACAGCUAGAGGGUGGGAGAGGUCAGCGGUAUUUCUGGGGUAGGGGCGAAAUCCUUUGAUCCCAGGAGGACCACCAGUGGCGAAGGCUGCUGACUAGAACACGCCUGACGGUCAGGGACGAAAGCUGGGGCAGCGAACCGGAUUAGAUACCCGGGUAGUCCCAGCUGUAAACGAUGCUCGCUAGGUGUUGGGUCGGCCAUGCGCCGCCCCAGUGCCGCAGGGAAGCCGUUAAGCGAGCCGCCUGGGGAGUACGGCCGCAAGGCUGAAACUUAAAGGAAUUGGCGGGGGAGCACCACCAGGCGUGAAGCUUGCGGUUUAAUUGGAGUCAACGCCGGAA
This 853-nucleotide ribosomal RNA is filed under the name uncultured archaeon. Its description in RNAcentral is "bacterial SSU rRNA". It matches the Rfam family "Archaeal small subunit ribosomal RNA", at positions 84 to 923 of the family's 1478-position model. The record is from RNAcentral.